This 294-nucleotide ribosomal RNA is filed under the name uncultured Flavobacteriaceae bacterium. RNAcentral describes it as "partial 16S ribosomal RNA". It matches the Rfam family "Bacterial small subunit ribosomal RNA", at positions 1 to 300 of the family's 1533-position model. Lineage: Bacteria; Pseudomonadati; Bacteroidota; Flavobacteriia; Flavobacteriales; Flavobacteriaceae. The record is from RNAcentral.
UGACGAGUUUGAUCCUGGCUCAGGAUGAACGCUAGCGGCAGGCUUAACACAUGCAAGUCGAGGGGUAGGAGCAGCUUGCUGCUUUGAGACCGGCGCACGGGUGCGUAACGCGUAUACAAUCUACCUUUUACAGAGGGAUAGCCCAGAGAAAUUUGGAUUAAUACCUCAUAGUAUAGUACGGCCGCAUGGUUGAGCUAUUAAAGUCACAACGGUGAAAGAUGAGCAUGCGUCCCAUUAGCUAGUUGGUAAGGUAACGGCUUACCAAGGCAACGAUGGGUAGGGGUCCUGAGAGGG